This 407-nucleotide ribosomal RNA is filed under the name uncultured Actinoplanes sp. Its description in RNAcentral is "bacterial SSU rRNA". It matches the Rfam family "Bacterial small subunit ribosomal RNA", at positions 355 to 774 of the family's 1533-position model. Lineage: Bacteria; Bacillati; Actinomycetota; Actinomycetes; Micromonosporales; Micromonosporaceae. The record is from RNAcentral.
UGGGGAAUAUUGCACAAUGGGCGGAAGCCUGAUGCAGCGACGCCGCGUGAGGGAUGACGGCCUUCGGGUUGUAAACCUCUUUCAGCAGGGACGAAGCGCAAGUGACGGUACCUGCAGAAGAAGCGCCGGCCAACUACGUGCCAGCAGCCGCGGUAAGACGUAGGGCGCGAGCGUUGUCCGGAUUUAUUGGGCGUAAAGAGCUCGUAGGCGGCUUGUCGCGUCGUUCGUGAAAACCCGGGGCUCAACUCCGGGCUUGCGGGCGAUACGGGCAGGCUAGAGUUCGGUAGGGGAGACUGGAAUUCCUGGUGUAGCGGUGAAAUGCGCAGAUAUCAGGAGGAACACCGGUGGCGAAGGCGGGUCUCUGGGCCGAUACUGACGCUGAGGAGCGAAAGCGUGGGGAGCGAACA